GUCAAGCUACAAAGGGCUCACGGUGGAUACCUUGGCACACAGAGGCGAUGAAGGACGUAGUUACCUGCGAUAAGUCUCGGGGAGCUGGAAACACGCAUUGAUCCGGGAAUUUCCGAAUGGGGCAACCCCUAGAACGGCCACCUGAAUUCAUAGGGUGGCGCGAGCCAACCCAGCGAACUGAAACAUCUUAGUAGCUGGAGGAAAGGAAAGUAAAAACGACUCCCUCAGUAGCGGCGAGCGAACGGGGAAGAGCCUAAACCGAUGCUUUCGAGCAUCGGGGUUGUGGGACAGCAAC
RNAcentral lists this ribosomal RNA (295 nucleotides) under Tiarina fusus. RNAcentral's name for it is "Tiarina fusa partial Bacterial large subunit ribosomal RNA". It matches the Rfam family "Bacterial large subunit ribosomal RNA", at positions 1 to 312 of the family's 2925-position model. The record is from RNAcentral. Lineage: Eukaryota; Ciliophora; Prostomatea; Prorodontida; Colepidae.